UACGGAGGGUGCGAGCGUUGUCCGGAAUCAUUGGGCGUAAAGGGCGCGUAGGUGGCCACUUCAAGCGUGCGGUGAAAGUCGGGGGCUCAACCCCUGAUCGGCCGUGCGAACUGGGGGGCUGGAGCACUGUAGAGGCAGGCGGAAUUCCUGGUGUAGCGGUGAAAUGCGUAGAGAUCAGGAAGAACAUCGGUGGCGAAGGCGCUCUGCUGGACCAUAACUGACACUCAGGGACGAAAGCUAGGGGAGCGAAUGGG
Molecule: ribosomal RNA, 254 nt
Filed under: uncultured bacterium
Lineage: Bacteria
Description: partial 16S ribosomal RNA
Rfam family: Bacterial small subunit ribosomal RNA
Source: RNAcentral